Molecule: long non-coding RNA, 6462 nt
Organism: Lagopus muta (rock ptarmigan)
Lineage: Eukaryota; Metazoa; Chordata; Aves; Galliformes; Phasianidae
Exons: 5
Source: RefSeq, a predicted model, not a curated record
CUGAAACACCCACGUUUCCAGAUAGAUAGGGAUGGAGGUGGCUGCCUCUGCUUCUGAGCCGUGAGGUAGUUUGAUGUUUUGAGGGUUAAAAUGAGUCUGCAGAGCGUUUACUAAUUGUGUUUCACCUCAUAGGGCUUACAAGAGUAACGGCCUGACUUCAGUCCAGCAGGAAUAUGAGGCGUUUGAGGCUGUGCUGCCGUGCAGUGAGACGUGGACAGGCUGCAGAGGUGGGCAGGGAGGAACUGAACGAGAGGAGGAACGAGAUUUAACAAGAGCAGGAGUGGAGUCUGACACCUGGGGAGGAAUAACCACAUGUAUCAGUACAGGUUAGGGGAUGGAUGACCUGGUGGAGAGGAGCUCUGCAUGGAAGGACCUGUGGGUCCCGGUGGCCAGCAGGCAGUCCAUGAGCCAGCAGUGUGCCCAGGAGGGCCGGUGGGAUCCUGGGGUGCGUCACUAAAAGCGCUGGGCAGCAGGUGAGGGAGGUGACCUGCCCUGGUGAGGCCACUUUUACAAAAAAAAGUCCUGGAAUCUGAGUCCACAACUCUGUUGCUGUCAGAGUAAGUACGUGGGUUUUUCUUUGGUUGUUUCCUCGGAAUAAAAGCUAUUGAGAAGAAUUCUGCAAAAACUGAAAACGCGGCAUUAAAGGCUCAAUUUGUAAGGGAGAGGCCCUUUGAGACUUUGGCAUCUAAGAGAAAAUAUUAUGUGCUGUUAAGCCCAUCCCAGGGAAAUCCAGUUUUCUGGUAGUGUGAGCCAUUCUUCCGUGUUCAAUAUAUAUAUUUUUAAAUAACAACAACAGUGAUAAUCACUGCAUUGUAACAAGUCUUACUAUUAAAGGCUGAGGCAAAGAAGGCAUUAGGUACUUCAGCCUUGUCCUUAUCCUUGGUCACCAAGCUGCCCUUGGCAUCCAACAACAAGGAGAGACUGAAGGAGCUGAGGCUGUUUAGUCUAGAGAAAAGGAGGCUGAGGGGAGACCUUAUUACUCUCUUCCAAUACCUGAAAGGUGCUUACAGUGAGAGCAGGGUUGGUCUCUUCUCACAGGUGACAGGAUGACGUGAAAUGGCCUCAAGUUGUGCCAGAGGAGGUUUAGGUUGGAUAUCAGGAAACACUUCUUUACAGAAAGUGUUGUUAAACACUGGAAUGGGCUCCUCAGGGAGGUGGUUGAGUCACCAUCCCUGGAUGUGUUUAGAAACCAUUUGGAUGUGGUGCUCAGGGAUGUGAUUUAGCAGAGGGUUGUUGGAGUUGGGGUAGUAUGGUUAGGUUGUGGUUGGACUCGAUGAUCUUUAAGGUCUUUUCCAACCUGAAUGAUUCUAUGAUUCUGUUGUAAUAUCUGUACCUGUAGGAUGCAUAUCCCUUUGCUGGAAUGUAGAAGAGCAGUGAACCAGUAGAAAUAGGGAGUUUUAUACCAGAAUAAUAAUAAUAUAUUCAGAAAGUCUUUGCUAUUGUGAGAAGCUGCCAGUGGCUGAGGUAGGGCCUGUAUGACUGUCUUCAGACAGCUUUAGUGGUUUCUGUCCAUAAAAGAAUGAGUGAAAGGAGCCCGUGAGCUGAGAAAAACAUGCAGCAGUGCUUUCUAUUUUGACAAAGGAAUUUGAGAAGAGGUUUCAAGAUUGGAAAAAAAAAAUAUAUCAAUUUUUUGGGUAUAUUUGUGACUCGAUUUUCAGUCAACAUAAAUACCAUGAAUCCGUGAAUUUUCAGAUGGAAUGUAGAGAAAAUGAGAUAUUCAACUCAAGAAUCUGAUCAUGUUUCUCUACCAGAGAGAAACACCUCUCGCUGCACAAUCUGCCUCAUCAAGUCAUCACUUUCUGGCAGUACAGACAUUUGAGAACUGUUUUCAAGGAUGAAGCACAGAGAGAGUAAAAUGUCAUCAGAAAUCUCUGAUGAAUGCCUCAGAGCUCACUGAGAAUUGUAGCCACUGCCAUCAAACCAGCCUGAUGCAGCAGUGUCACAAAAACCUGGUCACAUAUCCUGCUGGUGUGACGUUUUUGUUGCUCUUUUUUAGUAUUUUAAGUAUUUUUUAUAUAGCUUUCUUUAACAGUGAAUGACCAAGUGCACCCUCAGUAAGUUUGCAGAAACCAGGAAGGCUCUGCAGAGUGGUAUGGAUAGGCUACAUCAAUGGGCUGAGAUCAACCACAAUAAUGAGACUAAUCUGCACCCACUGACGUUCACCUGAAUAUUUUGAAACAUAAAAAGAAUGUUGUCAUGGUGCUCCAAGUUGGCAGUUCCCAAGAUCAGAGUUAAUAUCAUAAAUGCAAUAAGUGCUGGGAUGUGGCCACAGACAAUAAAUCAAUCCUUUAUCUACCUUCUGAAUGUCUACCUUGGCCCUUCAGAACUGAAGGUUUGAUGAAGUUGGGGGUUUUUCAAGAGCAUCCAGAUACCUGAAGGAAAUUGGACACUACUGGGCUUUGCAUUUGAUGCAGAUGUUUAUGUACAGAUCUUAUCUCUAAUAUAAUCCCUUGUUAUUAAAAAAUCAGGAUUGGUUUGUCAACUCACCUUCAUGAUGAAAGCUGAUGGCAGCUUACUGCAGCACUGAGUGCACACGGGAUCUCUCUCCUUGCAUGCACUCACAGGAGCUAAAAAACACACAGAUACAUUCAGUAUGCAAAUAUUCAUGCAUUUUCUGUGAAUUCCAAGAAUUGCUAUCCAUAUUAACAUCUAAUGCUAUGCAUGCACUGUGUUAAUGUGGGGUUUUUGCAAGGGGUGGUUGUUGGGUUCAACUGGGAGAUGCUAUCCAGCCAAAAGGUCGUAAGCUAAAUAGGUCACAACCCUCAUUUGGUCACAGACUACUCACAGAAAUUGGCUGCUGACUAAUUAUAACGUUGUGGUGCCUGUAGUACCAGCCCAAGCAGGGCACGGUGUACAUCUCCACAGCUUGUGGAACGCUGAGACUCUGCUUUUAGGCUCCAGAUGUCCUGCUUAUCACAGAAAAACAACCUUCCCCAGAUGGAAUGUCGGCUUGCUGAAGAUUCUGAAUUAAUUGCUGGGCAUCAAAGCUCUCAAGAAUUUCCAAUGAUGGAGCUUGAUAAUUGGAUCCAUUCUUAAUAGAUUUUAGUAAGUGUCAAGCAAGCCACUUUCGUGCUUAGGAAUUUGGGAUGAACAAGAACUGUUUGUUGGGUUCAGUAGUUUACAGUUAAAAUUCCAAACUGAAUAUAAGCUGUAAGGCACUUUCUUUGUGCUUUCUUCUCUGUUAAGGACACACUAUACAAGACAGAAAGGGAGACAGCUAACACAGCUCUGCUUUUCUUACUGCUGGACUGGUGUUGGAAUAAGAUGUAGGUUGGGGAAAAUAGUGGAACAUAAACAGUUAUGUGCAGCUUUUUUUUUAUUAAUUAAAAAUGUUAGGCUGAUGAAAUUAUCACUAGCUAUUAGGCUUCCCGAUGUUCUAGACAAGGGCUUUUAAAUCACUUUGGGGCUCCGAGUCUGCAGGAGCGUAAAUCCCUGUUCUACCCUCGCUGUUUAGUGGAGGACAGGGAUGGUCUGAAUGUUCAGUGUAAAGCUGUUCUAAUGCAGUGCCAAAACUGUUCUGUUUCUGCUGACUGCGUGUAAGAGAGAAGAGCAAAAACCUGUCUGUUAGUUUAACACAGUGUUCAGUGUUACUGGCAGCGUCAGAGGCUGAAGCAGCUGAAUACAUUGUCCUGCAUCUGGGAAGGAGCCACAGGAGGGCAUGGCUGCACUUGACAAGAUGAACACUUUUUUUUUACGUGCUUCCAUUCAAGUUUGAAGGCGCUCACUGAUAACUGAAAAGCUAAUAUUUGGGAUCUGAAUUUAAAAACUUCAAAAACUGAGUGGUCUUAGCAAAAGAUGUUGUGUCCCAAAGGCAUUAAUUAGGCAUUCAUAAUCUCAUUUCCUGUAUUUUUACUUGAAAGAAUCAAUUGUCUGGCUUACAGACUCGCCCGUAUCCCUGUGAGUUUUAUCAUUAUCUCUCCGUGGUUAAAUGCUGUGAUGAAUCCUGUGCCUUCAGUUCUGAGCAGCCUUAAUUCCAAGUGAUUAACAUGGCAUCUGACAUGACUUAACCUCACAGAAGAUUCAGUAAGAGUUAUGUCAGAGGCUUUUGGUGGGUAUCAGCAAAAUAAGGCUAAGACUUAGGUAGACUUAAAUAGUAAAGUUACUUCUCUGAGUGUUCAACCAGUGACUUCAGCUGUCUUAAAGGAAGAAAUCUAUCUUGGUUGAAGUAUUUUGACACUCAUAGACACAAGUACUGCAGCUGGACACCUUCCAAAAGUGUGUUUUGUCUGAAAAGCAAUCACAUCUUGUAGAACACGGGGUUACUCAGCAAAGCUAUGUGCUUCUGCUCUGAGAAUAACACAGAGUACAUCAUCCAUCUGAUUUACUGCCCAACUCAUCUUUUCUUCAACUAGCUCCUUUAAAACAAAGCACAAAUAAAGAUACAUUAAUAGAUGUCCUUUUCCUGAUGCUAAAUCCACUGUUAAAUUCAAUAUGAGCAUAGAUCAAAUGGGUGACAUCAACAGCAACUGCUGAGAAAUGCUUUUUGUUUUGUUGCUGUCAACCUUUCUUGCAGCAUUGCAGGUUUGUUUCAGUCUCCCUUCUCUUUUACUGUAGUUAAAAUCCAUACAGACAAUCUUUGCACACCUUACUGUGAAAAAUGGAAUUGCUGAAAGGUGAGUUUCUGUCACUUUAUUGUUGAUGCCAGUGCCAGAUCCACAGUUUAGAACACAGCUACACUAAAAACAUCUUCAAACUGUAAGCCCUAUGCCUGCACUAAAUCUCUGCUAUUUAAUUUAUGGAGAUAGGACAAAAUGAUAUUUAAAUUUCUAGAACUGUGUCUGUCUCUACUUUUUGGUUUGGAGAAAUCAUGAAGUUCUCAGAUUCUAAACCAUCUUGUGUCAGCAUCUGAAUGCCACUUCUUUGUCUUAGUUCUAGCCUGUGUGUAACCUACUAAUGCAAAAAAUACUCCCCGAACUUUCCAACCUCCUCUACUGGCAUGCCAAAAUUGGUAUUGUUCUUGAAGCAGUAAGACAAGCCGUGCCUUAUGGCCACCCUGAGAAUCAUAGAGUAUCAUCUUUAUGAUUAAUUUAAUAUAAUUCCUAGUUUUUAUGAAUAAUUUAGUGUCACGUUGCAGGCUGUGGCGGCUCCUCCCAAUGGCUCUGGAUUGGCGUUGCAGUGACACAGAGCAGCCAGCAGAUGGCGCUCUCAGCACAGUCAAGCGACGAAUCCUCGUAUGAAUCGAGGCAAACACCAGGCGUGCAGAAACAGUGCUGAGAAUUCUUUUACCAUCGAGUAUCGACCGCUGGUCCCUUUUAGUACACGUAUAUGAGAACGUCUACGUGCCAGCAUUUUGCUUACCUGGAAAUGUGUUCUCAGUGUGGAAGGAAAUUGCCACAUGACGCUCAGGAAUGGUAGAUGAUUUGAACCCUAAUGCUAACCCUAGCAGCUGGUACUGCAGUGCUGUAGGAAAAGCAUCAGCUCUGUGUCCCCAGGAAGCAGGACCUUGCUCAGAUGCCUUUGCAGUCAUAUCAACUGACCACAUCUUUUCCAAGAUGUGAGAACAAGAGGAAAUGUUACGAGUUCAGUUACAGAGCCAAGCACCCAGGAUUCUUACUGGAAGGAGGAAAUGAUAAGCCACACUUUCUGCCUUGCUGAAUUCUUCUCUCUUGCAAAAAGCUUAUUGGAAAAAAUACAAAGCUCUUCCAAGAUCCACUUGCCAAAGCUGUACAAGCAGUUUCCUGAUUUGCACCAUGACUGAAGCCUUUAGUAAGUAAGAGCCAUUGGAAAAGCAGCUGUGGACUUACCUAGCCAACAAACUGAGAACUCCCAGGCACUACUACUUAUAUCCUUGUAUCAUACAGAUGCCAAAGACAGUGAAAGAAUGGGUGGCUCGUGGAAAGGAACAGCAAAGGAGAAUACUGCACAUAAGGAGAAAAAAACUGACAGAAGGAAAAGCUGAAAGAACAGGCUUCGAUGGCAGCGAGAAAGGAGGAGAUAUAAGGAUGAAGUUUAAUAGUAUUUUUGAACAUGCUUGCAACAGAACAGCGACAAAGGUGAGAUACUUAGGAAUGAUAGAAGAUAAAGAAAUUUAAGGAAGCACAGAAAAAAAUUGAGCUGGGAAAAAUAAUAAUAAAAGAAAUAGGUGUUUCUGGAUAAGCAGUGGGAAAACAGCCACUAUGUUUGAAGGAGUGUCAGAAGGCAAACAUCUUUAUUCUUCAGGUAGAAAAGACUGCCUCCCAGUGGCCCAUCGAGUGAUGGAUGUAAUAGCUUUUCUGUGUUUCAUUUUGAGUUGCUGUUGGUGCUUUCAAAGAGUGAUGUGGCAAAUAUCUAGAAGAAGGGAGUCCUGGUUGUUGCUGUUGUGGGUUUUUUUUAAGUAUAUUUCCUUUUUCUGUGUGUUUUCAGUAAAAUGAGGUAUGGAAACCCAAAGAAUGAGUGGAAUUAUUUAUGCUCAUAUCAGUAUUGAAGCAUCAGGAGAAAAAUAAAUGACACUGAUUGUGUAGAGGUAUUUCUUAACAGAGUGAA